CCAAGGCGGGGGAAAUCUCACAGACAGCAGCAGGACACAGCCUGCACACCAAGCUCGGGAGGAGCUGGGCAGACUCCGUUUAUACAGGAGUGAAGAAGAAAUCAAAAUAUUCUCAGAUGAAGAAAAGCAGAGAAUUUGUCAUCAGGAGACCUGCCCUAAAAGAAUGGCCCUAAUGGAAGUUCCUAAAAAAAGAGAAGACACUGAAAACAAAAAACAAAAAAAAAAACUUGAAGUAUUAUAAAAGUAUCAUAAAGAAAGAGGAGCAUAGUAAGCAAAAAUAUACUGCAGUUUUUACAGAUUGAAGGUUUGUAACAACCCUGCAUUAUUGGCACAAUUUUUCUACAACAUGCUCACCUCACAUCUCUGA
RNAcentral lists this long non-coding RNA (367 nucleotides) under Homo sapiens (human). RNAcentral's name for it is "HSALNT0386954". Lineage: Eukaryota; Metazoa; Chordata; Mammalia; Primates; Hominidae. The record is from RNAcentral.